RNAcentral lists this unclassified non-coding RNA (344 nucleotides) under Hevea brasiliensis (rubber tree). Lineage: Eukaryota; Viridiplantae; Streptophyta; Magnoliopsida; Malpighiales; Euphorbiaceae. The record is from RNAcentral.
AAUCGGGUGAAUCAAUAUGAAUCUUGAUUCACAGAUAUACCCACAAGCAUUUUGCUUCGUUUUCGGCCUAUACUUUGAAUCAAAAUAAGGUAUAAAGUUACUUUCAGAAAUUUCAAUUAUUUGAAAAGGAUGGAUUACAUUUUUUUUUUAUUAUUAUUAUCAAAAAGAAAGAAAAUUUAGGUUUUGACUAAUGACGAAUUGCUCUCGAAUCAAGCAAUCAACAGCAAAAUUGUUGGUAGAUUUCAGAUUUAUAGAGCUUGAGAACGAAGAGAAAAAAGAAAUUAGAGCGAUCUAAUUGUUGAAAUGGUGAAGCUUACUGACCUAAGAGCUAGCGAGAAUGGUGA